GAGUUUCAGAGACGUGAAGAGUGUGAAGUGAUCUACCAUGUAUGUACCAGAUCUGCUUUAAGAUGAAAGUCAAUCAUCUGGAUGAUAAAGCAUCAGGAAGUUUAUCUCAUCAUGUGGAGUUAUGCUGUUGGUUGCUGUGAAUUCCAUUUUUACGGUUUCUUCUCUCUUCCUGUUCUUAUCAUGAACAUUUCAGUGUGUUUCUUAGAAAAGAUGCACGCAGCUUCUUUCGGAAUCGUGCUGUCCUGGCACGAAGAUUCUUGUGCAAAUGCUGACCUUUGUCCAUGACGGAAGAUGGACUUCCACCAACAUCCUGAUCUUCGCGACGCUCGCUCAUCUAGCUUCACUGC
Molecule: long non-coding RNA, 347 nt
Organism: Daphnia pulex (common water flea)
Lineage: Eukaryota; Metazoa; Arthropoda; Branchiopoda; Diplostraca; Daphniidae
Exons: 3
Source: RefSeq, a predicted model, not a curated record